GGGAUUACAUGCAUGAGCCACUGCACCCAGGCUCAGUUGUUGCCUUCUGACAUACUCCACAGUGUACUCAUUUUAUUGUCUGUCUCUCCUUGUUAGAAUGUAAGCUACAUAAAGGUGGGAUCUUUGUCAGUCUUGUUCAUUAAUGCAUGCCAAGAAGCUAGAAUAGUACCUGACAUGUAUCAGGCACACAAUCCCACUUGUUGAAUGAACGAAUGAUUAAUGAAUGAAUACUGCAGCUUCUGGAGGGGCUAAUAUUAAAAAGGGAGAUUACAAAAGGAGCAUAAAAUGAAGCAGGAAGUAAGUUUAGAGACCACUUGUCCAAAAGUGCGAAGCUGAUGGGGCAGUCAAGGGUCACAGGCAGCUGAUCUGGCAUAGUGAGGAUAUGAGUGAAGAGGUAGACGGAAAGGAGCACAUAUGGGAAUGGGGGUAACAACUGGAAGAGCCAAGAAGGGCUUAGAAAUUGAGGAUGAAAAGGAGGAAGGCAAAGGCGCAGGGUCAGCAUGCUUUUCUCACCUCCAGUUCCAAGUCUUUGGCCAUACCGUUGAAUCCAAAUAAAAUACACACUCCUCUCUGCAAAUUCAAGCCUUCUUUCAAAACCUCAGUUCAAUCCCCACCUUUUCUAACAAGGAUCCCCUCUUUCAAUGUAAGAUUUUGGACAUGAAAGUCAGCACGAUAUGAGGGAAAGCGCAGAGAAUUAAAGAUGACCGGGGUUUGACUCCUAGGUCUACCUUUCCUGGCCAUGUAAUCAGAAGCAAGUCCCAUUUAUUCAUUAAUUCACUCUUUUAAAUUCAUUCAUCGAACAUUUGUUGAGUUCUUACUAUGUGUCUUUUGACAUAAUGCCAGGCCACUUCUUCUGGUAGCCUCUUUUCUUCUUCCCGCCUCUCUGCUGUUGUCACUAUCCUUGGCAGUUUCUUUCUCCACCCAUCCAUUGAAUGUUGGAGGGCAUCAAGGCUAUGGCUAGCCUUAUUCCCUCUCGCUCCAGGAUGCCCACUUUUCAGGGUCAAGCUACUCUACAUCCAUGGCUUUGAUUACCUCUACAACCCAAUAAUGCCAAAACUUCUAUCUCCAGCUCAGACCUCUCCUCUCAGCUCCAG
Sapajus apella (tufted capuchin) is the source of this 1094-nucleotide long non-coding RNA. RefSeq lists it as uncharacterized. NCBI's taxonomy places the organism in Eukaryota, Metazoa, Chordata, Mammalia, Primates, Cebidae. The transcript has 3 exons. The record is from RefSeq and is a predicted model, not a curated record.